Transfer RNA from Felis catus (domestic cat), 73 nucleotides. It matches the Rfam family "tRNA". From Rfam's summary of the family: Transfer RNA (tRNA) molecules are approximately 80 nucleotides in length. Their secondary structure includes four short double-helical elements and three loops (D, anti-codon, and T loops). The record is from Rfam. Lineage: Eukaryota; Metazoa; Chordata; Mammalia; Carnivora; Felidae.
GUCUGGCUGGCUCAGACAGAAAAGCAUGUGACUCUUGAUCAUAGGGUUGUGAGUUCAAGCCCCACGCUGGUUG